GCCAGACUCCUACGGGAGGCAGCAGUGGGGGAUAUUGCACAAUGGGGGGAACCCUGAUGCAGCGACGCCGCGUGGGUGAAGGAGCGUUUCGGCGCGUAAAGCCCUAUCGGCAGGGAAGAAGGAGGACGGUACCUGACUAAGAAGCCCCGGCUAACUACGUGCCAGCAGCCGCGGUAAUACGUAGGGGGCAAGCGUUAUCCGGAUUUACUGGGUGUAAAGGGGGCGCAGACGGCAGCGCAAGCCAGGGGUGAAAGCCCGGGGCCCAACCCCGGGACUGCUCUUGGAACUGCGCGGCUGGAGUGCAGGAGGGGCAGGCGGAAUUCCUGGUGUAGCGGUGAAAUGCGUAGAUAUCAGGAGGAACCCCGGUGGCGAAGGCGGCCUGCUGGACUGCGACUGACGUUGAGGCCCGAAAGCGUGGGGAGCAAACAGGAUUAGAUCCCCCUGUA
This 446-nucleotide ribosomal RNA is filed under the name uncultured bacterium. RNAcentral's name for it is "partial 16S ribosomal RNA". It matches the Rfam family "Bacterial small subunit ribosomal RNA", at positions 330 to 792 of the family's 1533-position model. The record is from RNAcentral.